This 75-nucleotide transfer RNA is filed under the name Acidobacteriota bacterium. Its description in RNAcentral is "Acidobacteria bacterium (activated sludge metagenome) tRNA-Leu". It matches the Rfam family "tRNA". From Rfam's summary of the family: Transfer RNA (tRNA) molecules are approximately 80 nucleotides in length. Their secondary structure includes four short double-helical elements and three loops (D, anti-codon, and T loops). Further hydrogen bonds mediate the characteristic L-shaped molecular structure. tRNAs have two regions of fundamental functional importance: the anti-codon, which is responsible for specific mRNA codon recognition, and the 3' end, to which the tRNAs corresponding amino acid is attached (by aminoacyl-tRNA synthetases). tRNAs cope with the degeneracy of the genetic code in two manners: having more than one tRNA (with a specific anti-codon) for a particular amino acid; and 'wobble' base-pairing, i.e. permitting non-standard base-pairing at the 3rd anti-codon position. The record is from RNAcentral. Lineage: Bacteria; Pseudomonadati; Acidobacteriota. RNAcentral also lists the same sequence under 1 other name.
GCUGGAAUGGUGUAACUUGGUAAACGCGGCGGACUUAAAAUCCGUUUUGUGAGGGUUCAAAUCCCUCUUCCAGUA